This 540-nucleotide transfer RNA is filed under the name uncultured Prochlorococcus sp. Its description in RNAcentral is "partial 16S-23S ribosomal RNA intergenic spacer". The stretch from base 211 to 283 matches the Rfam family "tRNA". Lineage: Bacteria; Bacillati; Cyanobacteriota; Cyanophyceae; Synechococcales; Prochlorococcaceae. The record is from RNAcentral.
AGGGAGACAACAAAAUGUUUAAUAUUAUUAUUUUGUCACCUUAGGUCGAUCGGUAUCUCACGUUCUUAAUUUGUUAAGAAUUUCAUUUCCUAAGUUUUUCUAGGUCACACCCAUUAUUUUUCCUGGGCCAUUAGCUCAGGUGGUUAGAGCGCACCCCUGAUAAGGGUGAGGUCCCUGGUUCAAGUCCAGGAUGGCCCAUAUCUCUAUGUUGGGGGUAUAGCUCAGUUGGUAGAGCGCCUGCUUUGCAAGCAGGAUGUCAGCGGUUCGAGUCCGCUUACCUCCACUGAUUACCACCUCUUCCAUAACUGGUAGAAAGGAAAUGUUUUGAGUUGUGAUUAUUAUUCUGAACGAAUCUAGCUUCCUAAUGAAAUCAUUAAGAUGCUGGACUCAUUGAAUUAAUUUCAUUGUUUUCAGAGAACCUUGACAACUGCAUAGAUUUUUUUAAAGACAAUAAGCAUCUUUAAUGAUGCAGAUUUAUUAUUUGUGCGAAUGCAUUAAUAACAAUUCUAUUAAGCUGAUGCUUCAAUUUUUGAAGUUAUU